This 206-nucleotide long non-coding RNA is filed under the name Gossypium barbadense (sea-island cotton). RNAcentral describes it as "long non-coding RNA (GBAR_LNC018061)". Lineage: Eukaryota; Viridiplantae; Streptophyta; Magnoliopsida; Malvales; Malvaceae. The record is from RNAcentral.
UGGGAUUGCGGAAUUGUAGAAGGGUUGAACGCCUGAUACGACCAUGCCCCGGGCACACUUUUGGAUCAGCUCCCUAAGCAUUGUUUGCAAAUCAUGCGAGCUGAAUUAGUUCAAUUUCAUUUCGUUAAGCUCCGUUUAGCUCGUUUCCAGCUCACUCGAGCUCAAGUCAACUCAUUCAAGCUCAAUUCAGCUCAAUCUUAACCUAA